UACGAAGGGGGCUAGCGUUGUUCGGAUUUGCUGGGCGUAAAGCGCGUGUAGGCGGGUCGUUAAGUUGGGGGUGAAAUCCCGGAGCUCAAAUCCGGAACUGCCUUUAAAACUGGCGACCUGGACUCAAGCAGAGGCAAGUGGAAUUGCGAGUGUAGAGGUGAAAUUCGUAGAUAUUCGCAGGAACACCAGUGGCGAAGGCGACUUGCUGGGCCUGUAGUGACGCUGAGACGCGAAAGCGUGGGGAGCAAACAGG
RNAcentral lists this ribosomal RNA (253 nucleotides) under uncultured bacterium. RNAcentral describes it as "partial 16S ribosomal RNA". It matches the Rfam family "Bacterial small subunit ribosomal RNA", at positions 524 to 776 of the family's 1533-position model. The record is from RNAcentral.